This 578-nucleotide ribosomal RNA is filed under the name Ustilentyloma graminis. RNAcentral's name for it is "eukaryotic LSU rRNA". It matches the Rfam family "Eukaryotic large subunit ribosomal RNA", at positions 77 to 669 of the family's 3401-position model. Lineage: Eukaryota; Fungi; Basidiomycota; Microbotryomycetes; Microbotryales; Ustilentylomataceae. The record is from RNAcentral.
UCCCUAGUAGCGGCGAGCGAGCGGGAAGAGCUCAAAUUUAUAAUCUGGCACCUUCGGUGUCCGAGUUGUAAUCUCUAGAAGUGUUUUCCGCGUUGGACCGCACACAAGUCUGUUGGAAUACAGCGGCAUAGUGGUGAAACCCCCGUAUAUGGUGCGGACGCCCAGCGCUUUGUGAUACACUUUCAAUGAGUCGAGUUGUUUGGGAAUGCAGCUCAAAUUGGGUGGUAAAUUCCAUCUAAAGCUAAAUAUUGGCGAGAGACCGAUAGCGAACAAGUACCGUGAGGGAAAGAUGAAAAGCACUUUGGAAAGAGAGUUAACAGUACGUGAAAUUGUUGGAAGGGAAACGCUUGAAGUCAGACUUGCUUGCCGGAGCUUGCUUCGGUUUGCAGGCCAGCAUCAGUUUUCCGGGGUGGAUAAUGACGGUUUGAAGGUAGCAGUCUCGGCUGUGUUAUAGCUUUCCGUUGGAUACAUCCUGGGGGACUGAGGAACGCAGCGUGCUUUUUGCGAAAGACUCGUCUUUUUCACGCUUAGGAUGCUGGUGGAAUGGCUUUAAACGACCCGUCUUGAACACGGACCAC